GCCGGGCAUGGUGGCUCGCGCCUGUAAUCCCAGCACAUUGGGAGGCUGAGGUGGGCGGAUCACCUGAGGUCAGGAGUUUGAGACCAGCCUGGCCAACAUGGUGAGACCCCAUCUCUA
This 117-nucleotide non-coding RNA is filed under the name Gorilla gorilla gorilla (western lowland gorilla). Lineage: Eukaryota; Metazoa; Chordata; Mammalia; Primates; Hominidae. The record is from Rfam by way of RNAcentral.